Molecule: transfer RNA, 76 nt
Filed under: Hydrocarboniphaga daqingensis
Lineage: Bacteria; Pseudomonadati; Pseudomonadota; Gammaproteobacteria; Nevskiales; Nevskiaceae
Also listed under: 5 other names
Description: tRNA_Thr_CGT
Rfam family: tRNA
About the family: Transfer RNA (tRNA) molecules are approximately 80 nucleotides in length. Their secondary structure includes four short double-helical elements and three loops (D, anti-codon, and T loops).
Source: RNAcentral
GCCGGGAUAGCUCAGUCGGUAGAGCGACUGAUUCGUAAUCAGUAGGUCGGAGGUUCGAUUCCUCUUUCCGGCACCA